Long non-coding RNA from Myotis daubentonii (Daubenton's bat), 666 nucleotides. RefSeq lists it as uncharacterized. Lineage: Eukaryota; Metazoa; Chordata; Mammalia; Chiroptera; Vespertilionidae. The record is from RefSeq and is a predicted model, not a curated record.
CUGGGAAUCGAGCGGAGCCGCGCUUUUAAGCUCCACGACCUUAUCUCUCAUACCUCAGCCGCCUGGCCUGAAGCGAAGCUGUCUUGCCCGAGAAGAGAGUGGUCACGGUGUCGCGUGGUAACAAAGCUUAGGACGAGGAGAGCCUACAUGAGAAAGGACGUCCUCCGGUUUCUAGACAUUGGAAAGUCGAAGAUUAAGGUCCCAGCCUAUUCUGUUCCCUGUCCAGGACCCUUUUCCUGUCUUGCAGAAGAGAGGAAGGGAAAGGGAGAGAAAAUCAUUGAUCGCUGCCUUCUGCACACCUCCUACUGUGGAUGGAACCUGCAACCCAGACAUGUGCCCUGACCGUGAUUUGAAUCGUGACUCCUAGUGUCAUAGAUCAAUACCCAACCACUGAGCUACACCAAGUCUCCCAUCAGGAUAAAGCAGCAUCUGUCAUGCAAAUACCGCCCUGUGCAGAAGUGAGGGAAGACUGCUGCAGAAGUGAAUACAGGCAACAUCUUUGAUCCCAGGGCACAGGUCUUUGAGAGGAAAUCUCCAAGCCUCUCGAAGAGGCAUUAGAAGGCUAUCCAGGCAGCAAAAGUACCUCAGGAUCAUGGCUGAUAAAAACCAGGAGAUCGGUGACACCCAUUCCCCUUUUCUCUUCACACCCUAUUCCAUCCAGAUAGA